UACCAGAAGAAUCGGAUCACACCUGGGC
This 28-nucleotide non-coding RNA is filed under the name Homo sapiens (human). The record is from RNAcentral. Lineage: Eukaryota; Metazoa; Chordata; Mammalia; Primates; Hominidae.